CCUCUAAGCAAAUUUAAGAAGCCCUUUGGCCGGACCUAAUCCACUUGAUCCCAACCCCCACAAGCACAGAUUUCAAAGCAUAAAAAAAUGGAUAGCAUGUGCUGUGCACGUGCUGUGUGGAGGAAUCAGACUCCCAGCGUGAGUCCUAUUUCGCUUGGCUUCCCGACGGAGACGGAAGCCAGGGAGGAGGGACUCCUCCCCUCGGUCCUCUUUAAAGAGAGGCCAACACUCCCCU
Molecule: long non-coding RNA, 235 nt
Filed under: Elaeis guineensis (African oil palm)
Lineage: Eukaryota; Viridiplantae; Streptophyta; Magnoliopsida; Arecales; Arecaceae
Description: long non-coding RNA (EGUI_LNC013778)
Source: RNAcentral